This 500-nucleotide ribosomal RNA is filed under the name uncultured bacterium. RNAcentral's name for it is "bacterial SSU rRNA". It matches the Rfam family "Bacterial small subunit ribosomal RNA", at positions 28 to 520 of the family's 1533-position model. The record is from RNAcentral.
GAUGAACGCUAGCGACAGGCUUAACACAUGCAAGUCGAGGGGCAGCGGGGGGCAGCAAUGCCUUGCCGGCGACCGGCGCACGGGUGCGUAACGCGUAUGCAACCUACCUACCAGUCUGGGAUAACCCGGCGAAAGCCGGACUAAUACCGGAUGAAACAGGGGUCCCGCCUGGGACUAUUUGUUAAAGAUUCAUCGCUGGUAGACGGGCAUGCGUUCCAUUAGGUAGUUGGGGGGGUAACGGCCCACCAAGCCUUCGAUGGAUAGGGGUUCUGAGAGGAAGGCCCCCCACACUGGUACUGAGACACGGACCAGACUCCUACGGGAGGCAGCAGUGAGGAAUAUUGGUCAAUGGGCGGGAGCCUGAACCAGCCAAGUCGCGUGGAGGACGACGGCCCUAUGGGUUGUAAACUCCUUUUGCAGGGGAAUAAAGUGGGGGACGCGUCCCCUUUUGCAUGUACCCUGCGAAUAAGCAUCGGCUAACUCCGUGCCAGCAGCCGCCG